GCCUCCAUAGCUCAGGGGAUAGAGCACCGCUCUCCUAAAGCGGGUGUCGCAGGUUCAAAUCCUGCUGGGGGCACCG
This 76-nucleotide transfer RNA is filed under the name Embleya scabrispora. RNAcentral describes it as "Streptomyces scabrisporus tRNA-Arg". It matches the Rfam family "tRNA". Rfam says of the family: Transfer RNA (tRNA) molecules are approximately 80 nucleotides in length. Their secondary structure includes four short double-helical elements and three loops (D, anti-codon, and T loops). The record is from RNAcentral. Lineage: Bacteria; Bacillati; Actinomycetota; Actinomycetes; Kitasatosporales; Streptomycetaceae.